UGUAGCUCAGAGGUAGAGCCCUUGCCUAGCAUGCAGGAGGCCCACAGUUCAAUUCCUGGCA
This 61-nucleotide transfer RNA is filed under the name Heterocephalus glaber (naked mole-rat). It matches the Rfam family "tRNA", at positions 6 to 65 of the family's 71-position model. From Rfam's summary of the family: Transfer RNA (tRNA) molecules are approximately 80 nucleotides in length. Lineage: Eukaryota; Metazoa; Chordata; Mammalia; Rodentia; Bathyergidae. The record is from Rfam by way of RNAcentral.